CAAGAAUCCUAAUACAGGAGUGUUUAUGGUUGGGUUGAGACACAUUCAGGAGCUGAGUGAUUGACAGCAAGAGGAGCAAGACAUGAGGUUAAUAAUUAUCAAAUAUAUGGCAAUGCUGGACUUUAGCUGAUGAUCGUGCUUCUGGAAAACAACAAAAAUUGAGAUAUCUUUUCACCACUUUGUGUGUCCAAGGACCACCUACUUUUUACAUGUGACAAGAACUACCCACCUCCACUCUUCAGGAUAGAACAUGCUGAAGAAAAGAGUUGCAAUGAGAAAAUAUAUGGGAACAAAAUACCUGUGCAAUGCAGAGGUCUGCAUAACUGAACCACUCAGAGGAAAAAAUUUCCCUCCCAGGCUGGAGUACAAUGGCGCGACCUCGGCUCACUGCAACUUCCAUCUCCCAGGUUCAAGCAAUUCUCCCACCUCAGCCUCCUUACUAGCUGGGAUUACAAGCGCCUGACACCAGGCCCAGCUAUUUUUGUAUUUUUAGUAGAGACGGGGUUUCACCAUUUUGACCAGGCUGGUCUCAAACUCCUGACCUCAGUCCAUCGGUCCACCUCGGCCUCCCAAAGUGCUGGGAUUGCAGGCAUGAGCCACCGCUCCUGGCCUCAAGUUUAAUUCUUAAGUGAGUCAAUCAGUUAUAGUCCUGUUCAAAGCUUUCAGUGCACCUAAAAUUUCA
RNAcentral lists this long non-coding RNA (682 nucleotides) under Pan troglodytes (chimpanzee). RNAcentral describes it as "long non-coding RNA NONPTRT001186". Lineage: Eukaryota; Metazoa; Chordata; Mammalia; Primates; Hominidae. The record is from RNAcentral.